AUUCUACCCGAUAAAACCAUUUUUCGAGAUGCUCGAUACCUUCUUCAUGUUAGCUGCCCUAUGAACCUGAAGGAUUAUCCGAUGGACAAGCAAACUUGUCAGCUGAGGACUGGUUUAUACUCGUACCCAGAUGACAAAGUGCUCAUUAAAUGGACAAAU
Limulus polyphemus (Atlantic horseshoe crab) is the source of this 159-nucleotide long non-coding RNA. RefSeq lists it as uncharacterized. NCBI's taxonomy places the organism in Eukaryota, Metazoa, Arthropoda, Merostomata, Xiphosura, Limulidae. The record is from RefSeq and is a predicted model, not a curated record. The transcript is spliced from 3 exons.